RNAcentral lists this ribosomal RNA (515 nucleotides) under uncultured microorganism. Its description in RNAcentral is "bacterial SSU rRNA". It matches the Rfam family "Bacterial small subunit ribosomal RNA", at positions 9 to 506 of the family's 1533-position model. The record is from RNAcentral.
GAGUUUGAUCCUGGCUCAGGAUGAACGCUGGCGGCGUGCCUAAUACAUGCAAGUCGAGCGAACGGACGAGAAGCUUGCUUCUCUGAUGUUAGCGGCGGACGGGUGAGUAACACGUGGAUAACCUACCUAUAAGACUGGGAUAACUUCGGGAAACCGGAGCUAAUACCGGAUAAUAUUUUGAACCGCAUGGUUCAAAAGUGAAAGACGGUCUUGCUGUCACUUAUAGAUGGAUCCGCGCUGCAUUAGCUAGUUGGUAAGGUAACGGCUUACCAAGGCAACGAUGCAUAGCCGACCUGAGAGGGUGAUCGGCCACACUGGAACUGAGACACGGUCCAGACUCCUACGGGAGGCAGCAGUAGGGAAUCUUCCGCAAUGGGCGAAAGCCUGACGGAGCAACGCCGCGUGAGUGAUGAAGGUCUUCGGAUCGUAAAACUCUGUUAUUAGGGAAGAACAUAUGUGUAAGUAACUGUGCACAUCUUGACGGUACCUAAUCAGAAAGCCACGGCUAACUACGU